Long non-coding RNA from Zea mays, 2958 nucleotides. RefSeq lists it as uncharacterized. NCBI's taxonomy places the organism in Eukaryota, Viridiplantae, Streptophyta, Magnoliopsida, Poales, Poaceae. The transcript has 3 exons. The record is from RefSeq and is a predicted model, not a curated record.
CCCCCCCCCCCGACGACCUAGGGCGAGUGGGCGAGCGGCCCUGGCGGCCCGAGAAACCUCCCUCUCUCCAUGUGGGCUGACCGUAAUUUGGGCGUGGCUUGCAGCCCUCCUUGCCGGCGACCCGAGGCUUGCUGGCAAGCGUCGAACAGAUGAAUCAAGCGUAGGGCCUUCGCCACCAUGUCAUAAAAUCAGUUAACUGUUUUCCCACUUAGUCUACUUGCUUCAUCUCGAUUUUCCAUAUUUCUGAGAUCACUUAAGAAAAGACAAUCUGUUGCACACAUCAAUACAUGCCGAUAUUCUUCAUGAAAAGCAUUUGCAAUAAAAUUUUAGUUGAGGUAGAUUUAUUCUUAUGAGUUAUGACAUUCCAGUUUGUUCUUUCUAUACAAAGCAAAUCUUCCUCCAAUAUUCCAAGCGUAAUACAAAAAAGUCUUAACAGCUUAACAAAAUGAAAAAAGUGCAGUAGCUAAAUUGUAUAUUUUCCUGGCAAUAUAUUUCCUACAUUCCUUCUUUUUGUUUUUUAAAUGUUUUUCUUUUUAAACAAGGGUGAGGGUAGUGAUGCUCAGACAAAAUAUGUAAAUCUGGUCUAACCAGUAUCAAACAUGUAAUUUUCUUUAUGGAUUCACGGUUACUUGCCUCAUUGGUACACAUUCUUAAUCUGCUUUCUAUGGUUGUAUUUCAGGAGGAAGAACAAUAUAUGAGAGACAGAGAGAGAUCGGUGUGAGUUGGAAACGGGGAGGCUUAGACAAUGAAGCGUCUAUGGGAUGAAGAUGGCUCACGCUUUAACAACUUCCAAAAUCUUCACCAAUUUUCAUCGUUAUGCUUUCUAUAUACUUCAGUAAGCAGCUCCUAAACUGCCAGUAAUAUCUCAUUGCAAGUUAAUACAUUUUUUCUUUCCUGCAUUCCUCACAGCCCCAACAUUCUUAAAUAAGCACAAAGAUCAUGUUGCACGCACCUUCAACUAUAUUUAGGUUCUAUUUUACUAUGUCCCAUAGACAUUGCAUUUCAACAGGACCCUCUCCAAUAUAUUCCAACUCCAACUCUAUCCAAAUAUUUACAAUCAAAAUUAUACUUACAAGAAAACAAUGUCAACCAUCUUCAUCGCAUUUGUUACAAAAGAAGCAAGUACUGACGCAUUUGUUACAGAAGAAGAUAGUCGUUUCCCCUUUUGCAUUUGCUUUUUUGUUAAUUUAUGACUAUUGUCCGCUCUAUUUAUAGUUCAAUCAUAGAUGAUAGUUACGCGCUGGUUUUGCCCUGGAAGACAAAAAACGAAUUUAAGGGGAAAGCUAAUGUACUGCCAACAACUGAAUUUGGAUGCCCGCUUAUCAGGUUUCAUUUGGACAUUUUGUUAGCUGUGUGAAUUCUGAAGUGGUAAGAAAAACAGACAAGACCCGAGGAUAAGCAAUAGUUAGUUAAAAAAGAAAAAACAGCAAAUUAUUGAAAGUACACCUCCUUGAACCAAUAUUUGUUUUGUUUACAGUUGAUCCAAGUUUCUAUAUCAAUGCCAGGCUGAUUUCUUCCCAGGACGAAAAAGCAAAAGAAACUUCUACAAGCAAGAUGCAGUAUGAUUUUGGCAUGACAGGAAUCAUAAGAUUCCAUUAGAUGGAUACUCAGAUACAGGGGCUACCUGGUUCAUUUUUUUGAUGAUGUGCAACUUCAAACUGGUAUGCCCCUCUCCUAGAUCCAUCUAAAUCGUCGAUGGCGACCAACAGCAGCAGCCCCACCCCCACCCCGCUCCUCGCCUCAGCGUUUUUCCCCUCCUCGACAUGCUCUACCUUCCAUGGUCGGUACAGCUGAUUGUGCUCUCUCUGACCUCGCUCUCCUAGGGGAGGAGCCGGGAGCGAGAGGGGGAUCUCCACUCAUCAUCCUGACACUCGCUCCAAACACUCAAUGUCGGAUUCUCCGUGCUCCUGCACCACCCUCCCCUCGGCAGCGUUCCUCCUCCGCCCACCCACCCACCCAGUGGAAUGCGAAGAGAUCCACCCGAGAGCCGGUGGAUUGGUUUCUUCCUCUAUUGGUAAGUCAUUCCUGGUCGGUCUUUGAUUGGACGGAUUAGUUUUGGUUCCUUUGUCGCCAGGCGAACCGAAUCUUGCUCCUCGGACUUUCCAGCACUAUAUCCUACACGUGCUGCUCUAUUUAAGUACCUUAAGAUGACCACAAUAUUUUUAUGGAAUACUGAGCCCUUUCUCUGCUUUUAAGAAUUGGUUAUCUUCGUGUGUCAUUAGUGGUUUUGAGUCCAACCUUGAAGUAACUGUCGCUUCAAAAUAUCCAUCUAGCAUUUUGUGAAAGCACUCACUCUGUUCAACAAGCAUCAAAUUGGAAAACUGGCACGUCAUAUUACAGCAGUAAUUUCAUUAUUUGAUACAAGAAUCUCCCUCAAAUUUGCUGAUAUAGCUAAGAAGAUAAUGCUGGUAGGUAAUAAUUUCUUUUAUUUUCAGUAUUUCUGGUGAACUUUGAAUGGUAGACCAUCCAAAUUUUUCCCUAUUUUGUUGCAGAUCCUAAUCUUUUGUAGCCAUGAUGGUAGAUAAUAGUCUCUUUUAUUUUUAUAAUUUCUGGUGAACUUUGAAUGGUGGUUCGUCCAGUUUUUCCCUCUUUUAAUGUAGAUCCUAAUCUUUUGUAGCCAUGAUGGUUUAUUUUUUCUAGGGUAUGUUUUGUUAUAGGGUACUAGGUCACCAGAUGUUGCAACUUGCAACUGAUAAUUGUAUUCUUAAAUGUCAUCCCUUUCUGCCCAUUGAUUAUGUCUUAUUGUUUUCAUUCAAAGAGAGCUGCAAGUAUCUUAAUCGAUAUGUUGUUCUCUCCUCCAUGUGUUCAGUUUUGAAUAUGGACGACACCAAUUCUACUACAUGCGCACCUAAAGAGAGUCAAAAUUAUAUUGAAACAGGUUUGUAAAAUUAACUGAACGUCAGCAGAUUACUUCUUAGACAUGACAAAAGUGGAAAUUAUAUUCUGGGUGACAAUACA